GUGAACCUACGGGGGGCAGCAGUGGGGAAUAGUGCACAAUGGGGGAAACCCUGAUGCAGCGACGCCGCGUGAGUGAAGAAGUAUCUCGGUACGUAAAGCUCUAUCAGCAGGGAAGAAAAAAAGUCUUUGGCUUUGGACGGUACCUGACUAAGAAGCCCCGGCUAACUACGUGCCAGCAGCCGCGGUAAUACGUAGGGGGCAAGCGUUAUCCGGAUUUACUGGGUGUAAAGGGAGCGUAGGCGGCGAUGCAAGUCAGAAGUGAAAGCCCGGGGCUCAACUCCGGGACUGCUUUUGAAACUGUGUUG
Molecule: ribosomal RNA, 305 nt
Filed under: uncultured bacterium
Lineage: Bacteria
Description: partial 16S ribosomal RNA
Rfam family: Bacterial small subunit ribosomal RNA
Source: RNAcentral